Camelus dromedarius (Arabian camel) is the source of this 939-nucleotide long non-coding RNA. RefSeq lists it as uncharacterized. The transcript has 2 exons. The record is from RefSeq and is a predicted model, not a curated record. NCBI's taxonomy places the organism in Eukaryota, Metazoa, Chordata, Mammalia, Artiodactyla, Camelidae.
GUCAGCUCCUCCCCUCCAGCCCACGCUGCCUCUUCGCCCACUCGGGCUGCGCGGGGGCGGAUGAUGGUGCCGGCGUCUCCAGCUCAAUUUCAGUUCUCCCACGCCCGCGGGAGCCCAGCGCGCCAGGGCUUCCACCUGCGCGCGCCUUGGCACCUCAGUUACGCCGCCUGCCGGCAGUUAACCUUCGCCCCCGCCACGCCCUCCGCCCAGCCGCUCUCCGCCCCGCCGCGAUCCGCAGACGCGAGGCCCCAGGCGCGUCCCCGAGCCCCAGGCUGGGGCCAGCGCUGGACGGCGAAGGCGAGGCUGCUCCAGAGGUCAGAGGCGCCGCGGCAGCCACACCCUCCGGCUGCACAGUGACAGCUCCCGCGGCUGAGGCGGGCGGUGCCGACAGUUGGCCCCCAGAGAACUGAAACACGUCUGACCUCAGUGCACACUGGCUUGGAAGACCAAGGAAACUGCUACAUUCAACUGCUUAUUCUACCAAGAAACCCCAUCACAAGCCUGUCUCCACUGUCUGGAUGGUCCAGGAGAAUCCACAUCUUCUCUGGGAAAUCCCACUUCCUCAUGCUGCAAAAAUAUGCAGAAACAAACAAACAAACAAAAAUCUCUUCCCAAGUCCACCAGCACUUUCACAUCAUGUUAAGGUCUAAGUUCAGAGAUGACUUUUUUUUUUAAUUCUGCAAUUUCUUAUAGUUCCUCAUAGAAUUCUGCACAUGGCUGAAGGAAAGCUGGAGGGGUUUGAAAACCAGACAAUGCUGAAGCUCUGAAGCCACUGGAAAGAGUUCAGGAUGAGUUAGAAAGGAGCAUUCCAAACAGGUCUGAGCAUAAGGCAGGAGUUUAAUUAAUCUGUUACUGGUAACAGGAAUAGAACAAUAUCAAAUUGUAAAGUUUCUUCAAGCUUGCUCUAUGUAUGUUGACAUUAAAUACAACAUCUUAUAA